AAACAAAAAAAGAAAAAUGGCCAGAAAACCGUUGCUGUUUUCCUCCGCGCCAUUUUCCAUUUUUCUUCCAUACUUUUUAAUUCGUUCUCAUCUCCCAA
RNAcentral lists this non-coding RNA (98 nucleotides) under Minutocellus polymorphus. The record is from RNAcentral. Lineage: Eukaryota; Bacillariophyta; Thalassiosirophyceae; Cymatosirales; Cymatosiraceae.